Long non-coding RNA from Camelus dromedarius (Arabian camel), 592 nucleotides. RefSeq lists it as uncharacterized. The transcript is spliced from 3 exons. The record is from RefSeq and is a predicted model, not a curated record. NCBI's taxonomy places the organism in Eukaryota, Metazoa, Chordata, Mammalia, Artiodactyla, Camelidae.
AGCAGCGACCCGCCCCCUCGCACUGAGCAUGCGCGACCCGCGGCCGAAGUCCUGAAGCUUCCUGGUUUCCGGGUUUUGGAGGUGGUCGAGGGAGGGAGAGCGAGGUCGCGCACCAGGCUCUUAACCUUCUCUCUGCCGGGCUCAGACUUCCUGCGAAGCGGAAUGAGAGACGUGGCACAAGAGGUCCCCAGGGAGAAAACCUGAAAGCCAGCGCCUCCUUAACACAGACUGCUAGGGGGUGAGACGACAUUAGACGCUGUCCCCAGAUAGAAGCAUCACUUCCUAUAGAGACGGUUUGUUCCUGAUGUGUCCACCAGAGGCCAGUCCCAGCAGGAUGAGUCUUAGAAUCCAUAGGGUUUAAGAACAUGAACAUUGCAGCCCAACAGACUUGGUUUUGGAUGUAAGAUGUGUUAUUUACUAGCUCUGUGACUUUGGGCAAGUUAUUAAGCUCUCUAAGCCUCAAGUUCCUCAUCUUUAAUAGAGGGAUAAUAACAGUACAUCCAACAUGGGGUUGUGUUGAGAAUUAAAUGAGACAGUGCAUGGAAAGUGCUGAGCUCUAUGCCUGGCACUUAGCAAGUGCUCAAUAAACAUA